RNAcentral lists this ribosomal RNA (468 nucleotides) under uncultured bacterium. RNAcentral's name for it is "partial 16S ribosomal RNA". It matches the Rfam family "Bacterial small subunit ribosomal RNA", at positions 28 to 507 of the family's 1533-position model. The record is from RNAcentral.
GACGAACGCUGGCGGCGUGCUUAACACAUGCAAGUCGAACGGAAAGGCCCUGCUUUUGUGGGGUGCUCGAGUGGCGAACGGGUGAGUAACACGUGAGUAACCUGCCCUUGACUUUGGGAUAACUUCAGGAAACUGGGGCUAAUACCGGAUCGGAGCUCCUGCUGCAUGGUGGGGGUUGGAAAGUUUCGGCGGUUGGGGAUGGACUCGCGGCUUAUCAGCUUGUUGGUGGGGUAGUGGCUUACCAAGGCUUUGACGGGUAGCCGGCCUGAGAGGGUGACCGGCCACAUUGGGACUGAGAUACGGCCCAGACUCCUACGGGAGGCAGCAGUGGGGAAUAUUGCACAAUGGGCGGAAGCCUGAUGCAGCAACGCCGCGUGCGGGAUGACGGCCUUCGGGUUGUAAACCGCUUUCGCCUGUGGCGAAGCGUGAGUGACGGUAAUGGGUAAAGAAGCACCGGCUAACUACGUG